CUGAGGAACCCUGCCCCGCUAUGAAGGGGUUUGAAAC
Non-coding RNA from Kouleothrix aurantiaca, 37 nucleotides. The record is from Rfam. NCBI's taxonomy places the organism in Bacteria, Bacillati, Chloroflexota, Chloroflexia, Chloroflexales, Roseiflexaceae.